AGGAGAAAAAUAUUUAAAAAUAAUAUUUUUUACUUGAUUUAAAAUUUAUAAAAAAAAGUAAAGAUUUAGUUAAACGCGAGGUGAAGUUGUAUAAAUAAAAUCUCGCCCAACACCACAAAAAUAAAGUUUUUAUUAUAAUAACAUUUGUACAAAUAUAAAAAUAUAAAAUACAAUACAAAAUUAAAAAGGCCUCUUUAAAUGCAGCUCCCGACGAGUAUUGCAAAUAACCUGUAUAAAUAGGUGUAAAAAAUGUUAGUAACGAAUAAAUAAUAAUCAAAAUAAAUCAAACAAGUAUGUGUGUAUAUAAAUAUUUAAAAAUAUAUUUUUUAUUAAAAAGUGGGUUUAGAUGAAGUCAUAGUUGCAAAAUGGUUGUUCAAUUAAUUGACAGUCUUAAAUCAUUUUACUACGAAGUGAUUGCUCAAUUAAUUUAGUCAAAAUAUGAAUUAUAAAAUUUUGUGUUGUUAUAAAAUUUUGUAUCACCCAAAAAAUAUUUAUUUAUUACAUAUUUGCAUACGUAAAGUCUGUCUUUUAUCUAUGGAGGCCUUAAAAUUAAUAGUAAUUUUUUAUUGGCCAAAAUGUGUAGUAUCUGUUCAUUGUAUCAGUCAAAUAUAUUCAGAUAAUCAAUAAAAGGGUAAAAUGCAAAAAUAUGUAAAUAUAGUAAUAGAGUAAUGUAGGACCAUGUAAAAAUGCCAAAAAGUCUAUCAAUUUUUGAACAAAACAAGGGGUCACCCCAAUAUCCAAAUCAGUAGUAUUAAAUAGAGCAAACAGAAUGAGUCGAAAGAAAAACAUAGCUGGCAAUCAUAAAUCAUCCCCAAUCAAGCAUGUUCAUUCAAGAAUCAACACCUCCACAGAUAAUUCAAAAUCAACAAAUAAAAUCAAGGAUCCAAAAGUAGAGGAAAAAAAUGUUAGAGCACCAUAAACGACCCAAAUCCACAAAAUAAGCAAGUUAUUAAGCGGAUAGAAGACUGAAAAAUGAAGGUUGGCGUUACUUCAACGGCUUAUGCCGGAGUAACGCCGAAACCCAGAUUCCGACCAGAUCUAGCCAUUUUUUGAUGUGGCAGUGGUGGUGUCGCCGGCCAUGGCUGUUGAUCCAGCUGUUUUACCGGCAGAGAUGUAUGAAGAGGAGAUCCGAGAAGCGGCUGUUUUAUCGACGAGAGGUAUUAUGCGACAGUGAUGUUUAUAGCGUGUAAGGGAGAGAAGAAAGCAUGAGAUGAGAUCUGUUUUUUUUUUGUUCUACUCCCUGAGUAUGUGAUGUGCAAAUUGUAUUAAAGUAUGUGAUUAUUUUUAGAGAAAAGAAAGAGUAAUGUGUGUGUCUUGAGAGUGCAUAAAAAUCUGUGUAUAUGUUUUUUGAAUGAAGAAGAAAAAAAAUAGAUUCUGUGUAUUCUGUAAUAUGUGAGGGUGAUUGUAUAUUGUUGUUCUGUCUUAAAAAUGGUUCCCCCGGUGAAUAGAUGAUAGCAUGACUAUUUAUUUUGUGAAGAAUAAUAAUGUCAAAUAUGGAGGGUGUAUUGUGAAGAAAAAUGUCAAAUGUAACCGUUUGAAAUUGACAGUGAACGUUGCAAAAGCUGAUUAAUAGUAAAUUAGCAGAUUUUCUUUGAUUUCAUUUGACAUGUGCACUAUUUAACAAAUAAAUUAAAAGACAUCUUUUUUCUUGAAAUGAUAUAAAGAAAAAAAGUAAAAAACUCUACUUUUGCAUUAAAAAUCUUUGAAAGAGAAGAUAUGCAACAACGGAUCUUUUGCUUAAAAGUUUAAAACUUUUUGCUUAAAGUCUUAACACAUUAUUGCAAGUAGUAUUCAUAUUCUUACCAAUUUAUUAUUUGAAUCCUUUCUGAUCUUAAAUUGAUUCUUUUGAGCUUCUAAUUUAAUAGCUAGCUUAAUACAUAUUAAAUAAUAAUAGGAAAAAAU
RNAcentral lists this long non-coding RNA (1902 nucleotides) under Capsicum annuum. Its description in RNAcentral is "long non-coding RNA (CANN_LNC020336)". The record is from RNAcentral. Lineage: Eukaryota; Viridiplantae; Streptophyta; Magnoliopsida; Solanales; Solanaceae.